Homo sapiens (human) is the source of this 12518-nucleotide long non-coding RNA. RefSeq lists it as uncharacterized. The transcript is spliced from 3 exons. The record is from RefSeq and is a predicted model, not a curated record. Lineage: Eukaryota; Metazoa; Chordata; Mammalia; Primates; Hominidae.
CUUGGCCUCCCAAAGUGCUGGGAUUACAGGUGUGAGCCACCGCGCCUGGCCAAAAAGCUGAUUCUUUAGUGAAAUUGGCAAACCUCUAGAAAAAGACAAAGAGAAGAUGCAAAAUUACCAGUAUCAGGACUGAAAAGAGAUAUCACAAGAGACCCCAUAGUAUAGAUAUACCAUCCUCCAUGAUAUGAUUAUUUCACAUUGUAUACCUAUAUCAAAACAUCUCAUUUAUCCCAUAAAUAGAUACACCUAGUAUGUACCCACAAAAAUUAAAAAUUAAAACAGACCCUACAGACAUCAAAAGAAUAAGGGAAUACUACCAAAAACCUUAUACAUAUAAAUUUGAUAAGACAAAAUGGACCAAUUCCUCAAAAAGCAAGUUACCACAAUUCAUGCACUAUGAAAUAGAUAAUAUGAAUAGCCCUGUAACUAUUAAAGAAGUUUAAUUCAUAAUAAUUCACAAUUUUAAGACUUCCAAAAGAGAAAUCUCCAGGCCCAGAGGUUUCACUGGAGAAUUCUACCAAACACUUAGAGAAGAAUUAACACCCAAUUUUAUACAAUCUCCUCCAGAAAACAGAAGAGGAGGAAACACUUCCUAGUUCAUUUUAUAACCUAGUAUUACUCUGAUACAAAAACUAGACAAAGAUGGUACAAACAGGAAAACUUUUUUCUUUUCAAAGAAAAUGAUCAGAGAUAAAGAGGGGAAUUACAAAAUGAUAAAGGAAUCAGUACUCUGUGAAAAUAAAAUACUAAACGUGUGCACCUAACUAUAAAGUGUCAAAAUAUGUAAGCCAAAAAUGGAUAGAACUGCAAGAUGAAUCCACUAUUAUCACUGCAGACUUUAAUAUAUCCAUUUCUCAGAAAUGGACAGAUGCAGCAGGCAGAAAAUCAGAAUAUAGUUGAAGUUAAUAGCACAAUUAACAAACUGGAUAUAACCUGACUCUACAGACUACUUCAACCAAAAAUAGCAGACAACAUUUCUUUUCAAGCUUACAUGGUGCAUUCAUCAAGACAGACCACAUUCUGGGCCAUGAAACACACCUUGACAAAUGUAAAAGGGAAAUCAUACAAUGUUCUGCUCUCUUACAAUAAUGGAAUUAAACUAGAAAUCAGUAACAGAAAGAUAGCUGGAAAAUCUCAAAACACUUGGAAAUUAAACAAAGCACUUUUAAAUAAUACAGUAGUCGAAGAAAUCUCAAGAGAAAGUUAAAAAUAUUUAGAACUUGAAGUGACACGAGUUUUUAAUAAAAAAGAGUAGAGAGAAAUAUUUGGAACUAAAUCAAAAUCAAAAUGAAGCAUCAUAAACACCUCAUUAUAUACUGGGAUUUAUUACUUCAGAGUAUUAUAUAAAUUAUUUAUUUAUUUAGAGAUGGGGUCUUACUCUGUUGCCCAGGCUGGAGUGCAGUUGUGCAAUCAUAGCUCACUGCAGCCUUGACCUUCUGGGCUUAAGUGAUCCUCCUGCUUCAACCUCCUGAGUAGCUGGGACUACAGGCGUGUGCCACUAUGUCCACCUCAUUUUUAUAUUUUUGGUAGAGAUGGGCUUUUGCCACAUUGUCCAGGCUGGUCUUGAACUCCUGGGCUCAAGUGAUCAGCCUGCCUCAGCCUCCCAAAGUGCUAGGAUUACAAGUGUGAGCCAUCACGCCUAGCCAUAAAUAUAAUUUAAAUCAAGCCAACAUUAAGUAUGACAGGGGAGCUCAUUAUUUGUGUAUUAAUAACUUUUUUUGAGACGGAGUCUCACUCUGUCACUCUGUCACCCAGGCUGGAGUGCAAUGGCGCAAUCUCAGCUCACUGCAAGCUCUGCCUCCCAGGUUCACACCAUUCUCCUGCCUUAGCCUCCUGAGCAGCUGGGACUACAGGUGCCCACCACCACAUCCAACUAAUUUUUUAUAUUUUUAGUAGAGACGGGGUUUCACCGUGUUAGCCAGGAUGGUCUCCAUCUCCUUACCUCGUGAUCCGCCCACCUCGGCCUCCCAAAGUCCUGGGAUUACAGGCGUGAGCCGCCAUGCCCGGCCAAUAAUAACUAUUAUGUAUUUUAAAAAUGUUUUUCUUCUUAUUAUUAUUUUCUAAAUCUUACCGGAAGGAUGUAUUUUGUUGUUGUUGUUGUUGUUUUGAGACAGAGUCUUGCUCUGUUGCCAGGCUGGAGUGCACCGGCGUGAUCUCAGCUCACUGCAACCUCCGCCUCCCGGGUUCAAGCAAUUCCCCUGCAUCAGCCUCCCAAGUAGCUGGGACUCCAGGUGCCUGCCACCAUGCCCAGCUAAUUUUUUGUAUUUUUAGUAGAGACAGGGUUUCACUGUGUUAUCCAGGAUGGUCUCGAACUCCUGACCUCAGGUGAUCCGCCCGCCUCGGCCUCCCAAAGUGCUGGGAUUAUAGGCGUGAGCCACCGCACCUGGCCAGGAUGUUUUUCAAAAUGUGUCAGAUUUGAAAGUGAUAAAAUUUAACUGACAUAAUACAAUUGUUCUGAGAGCCUUACCUAUUAAUUAAAGGUAAAAAUAAUUGGAGGAAAAGAAAACUCCAGAUCUAUAUUCAUCAUAAAUACAAAAACAAAAAUCUACAACAAAAUAAUAGUACAAAGAAUUCAGCAACAUACAGAAAUAAUUGUAUGCCAUGACCAAGUGGUGUUUAUUCCAGGAAUGCAAGGGUGAUUUAAUAUUUGAAAAUCAAUCAAUGUAAUCCACCACAUUAACAGGCUAAAAAAAAUCACAAAAGUAUGCGUAUUAACUAAAUUAGAAAAAGCAUUUGACAGAAGGUAAUAUCCAUUGAUGAUUAAAGCUCUCAGAAACAUAGGAAUAGAAGGGUACUUUCUCAACUUGAUAAAGAACAUGUAUUUAAAAAAUCUGCAGCUAACAUUAUAUUUGACAAUGAAAGACUGAAUGUUUUCUCCAAUGUUUACGGACUGGAAAAAUCAACACAAUAAAGAUGUCAAUUCUCUGGAAAAAACCACUUUAAAGUUCAUAUGGAACCAAAAAAGAGCCCGCAUUGCCAAGACAAUCCUAAGCAAAAAGAACAAAGCUGGAGACAUCACACUACCUGACUUCAAACUAUACUACAAGUCUAUAGUAACCAAAACAGCAUGGUACUGGUACCAAAACAGAGAUACAGACCAAUGGAACAGAACAGAGCCCUCAGAAAUAAUACCACACAUCUACAGCCAUCUGAUCUUUGACAAACCUGACAAAAACAAGAAAUGGGGAAAGGAUUCCCUAUUUAAUAAAUAGUGCUGGGAAAACUGGCUAGCCAUAUGUAGAAAGCUGAAACUGGAUCCCUUCCUUACGCCUUAUACAAAAAUUAAUUCAAGAUGGAAUAAAGACUGAAAUGUUAGACCUAAAACCAUAAAAACCCUGGAAGAAAACCUAGGCAAUACCAUUCAGGACAUAGGCAUGGGCAAGGACUUCAUGACUAAAACACCAAAAGCAAUGGCAACGAAAGCCAAAAUUGACAAAUGGGAUCUAAUUAAACUAAACUUCUGCACAGCAAAAGAAACUAUCAUCAGAAUGAACAGGGAACCUACAGAAUGGGAGAAAAUUUUUACAAUCUACUCAUCUGCCAAAGGGCUCAUAUCCAGAAUCUACAAAGAACUUAAACAAAUUUACAAGAAAAAAUCAAACAAUCCCAUCAAAAAGUGGGCAAAGGAUAUGAACAGACACUUCUCAAAAGAAGACAUUUAUGCAGCCAACAGACACAUGAAAAAAUGCUCAUCAUCACUGGCCAUCAGAGAAAUGCAAAUCAAAACCACAAUGAGAUACCAUCUCACACCAGUCAGAAUGGUGAUCAUUAAAAAAUCGAAACAACAGGUGCUGGAGAGGAUGUGGAGAAAUAGUGACAUUUUUACACUGUUGGUGGGACUGUAAACUAGUUCAACCGUUGUGGAAGACAGUGUGGUGAUUCCUCAAGGAUCUAGAACUAGAAAUAUCAUUUGACCCAGCCAUCCCAUUACUGGGUGUAUACCCAAAGGAUUAUAAAUCAUGCUGCUAUAAAGACACAUGCACACAUGUGUUUAUUGUGGUACUAUUCACAAUAGCAAACACUUGGAACCAACCCAAAUGUCCAACAACGAUAGACUGGAUUAAGAAAAUGUGGCACAUACACACUAUGGAAUACUAUGCAGCCAUAAAAAAAGAUGAGUUCAUGUCCUUUGUAGGGACAUGGAUGAAGCUGGAAACCAUCAUUCUCAGAAAACUAUCGCAAGGACAAAAAAACCAAACACCGCCUGUUCUCACUUAUAGGUGGGAAUUGAACAAUGAGAACACUUGGACACAGGAAGGGGAACAUCACACACUGGGGCCUGUCGUGGGGUGGUGGGAAGGGGGAAGGAUAGCAUUAGGAGAUACAGCUAAUGUAAAUAACAAGUUAAUGGGUGCAGCACACCAACAUGGCACAUGUAUACAUGUGUAACAAACCUGCAGGUUGUGCACAUGUACCCUAGAACUUAAAGUAUAAUAAAAAAAAGAAAAAAAGGAAAUAAAGGUGUAAACAUUGGAAAGAUUAAAAAAAAAGUCAAUUCUCCUCAAAUUGACAUACAGGUUUAAUGCAACUCCUAGCAAAACCCCUGCCAGUUUUUUUUUUGGCAGAUACAGACAAUAUUAUUGUAAAAUGUAUAUGGAAAUGCAAAAGAGCCAAAAUAAUUUCAAAGGAAAGUGGGAAGAAUCAGUCUACCCUAAUUCAAGACUUACUAAAUAAUUGCAGUAAUUAAGGACUGUGUGUUAUUGGUGGAGGCACAGACACAUGCAUCAGUGGAACAGAACAGAAAACCCAGAAACAGAUCCACCACAAAUAUAUCCCCAGCUGAUUGUUUUUGCCAAAGGUACAAAAGCGUUUCAAUGAAAGAAAGAUAGCCUUUUCAACAACUAGUGCUAACACAGUUGCCUAUCUGUACACAAAAAAAUGAACCUUGAUCUAAGUCUCCCACCUAAUUCAAAAAUUAACUCAAAUGAAUCAUGGACUUAAAUGUAAAGUGUAAAACUAUAAAACUUUUGAAAAAAUAUAAGAAAACUUUCAAGAUCUAGACCUUGGCAGACUUCUUAGACUUGACAUCAAAGACAUAAUAAGAGGACAAACUGAUAAUCUGAACUUCGUCAAAAUUAAAAAAACUUGCCCUACAAAAGCCCCUGUUAAAAGUAUAAAAAGACAAGUUAUGAACUGCGAGACAGUAUUUGCAAACCACAUAUCUGACAAAGGACAAGUACCUAGAAUACAUAAAGAACUCUCAAAACUCAACAGUAAAAAACAAUCCAAUCAGAAAAUUGGCUUAAAAGAUGAAGAGACAAUUUGCCAAAGAGGAUAUACAAAUAGUGAGUUAAAAGAUGAAGAGACAAUUUGCCAAAGAGGAUAUACAAAUAGCGAGUAAGUGCAUGAAGAGAGGUUCAACGUCAUUAGCCAUUAGGGAAAUACCAAUUAAAACCAAAGUAAAAUAACACUACGCCCCUAUCAAUUAAACAAAAAGUUGUGACACCACGAAGUCCUGGCAAAGAUGUGGAGAAACUGUAUCACUUAUGCAUCGCUGGUAGGAAUUAAAAAGUUUGGCAGUUUCUUAGAAAACUAAACCUGCAAUUACUUAAUGAGCCAGCAAUUCCAUUCCUGGCACUUUUUUUGGAGAAAUAAAGAUGUAUGUUCACACACAAACCUGUACAUAAAUGUUUAUAGCAACUUCAUUCAUAAAAGCCCAAAACUGGAAACAAUCCAGAUGUCCUUCAAAGUGUGAAUGUUUAAACAAACGGUGGUAUAUCACACUGUGGAAUAUUAACUAGCAAUAAAAAAAAAAUCAAAUUAUUGAUAUGUACAACAACCUGGAGGAAUCUCCAGAGAAUUAUGCUGAGUAAAAAAAGCCAUGCUCAAAAGUUCAUACAGUAGGAAUUCAUUUAUGUACCAUUUUGUUUUUUUGGGUUUUUUUUUUUUUUUUUUUUUUUUGACAGACUGUGUUGCUCUGUUACCCAGGCUGGAGUGCAGUGAUGCAAUCUCGGCUCACUGCAACCUCUGCCUCCUGGGUUCAAGCUAUUCCCCUCCCACAGCCUCCCAAGUAGCUGGGACUACAGGUGCCGGACAACACACCGGGCUAAUUUUUGUAUUUUUAGUGGAGAUGGGAUUUCACCAUGUUGGCCAGACUGGUUUUGAACUCAUGACCAAGUGACCCUACCCGCCUUGGCCUCUAAAAGUGCUGGGAUUACAGGCAUGAGCCAGCCUGGCCAACACGAUGAAACCUCAUCUCUACUAAAAAUACAAAAAUUAGCCAGGAGUGGUGGCGCAUGCCUAUAGUAUCAGCUACUCAGUAGGCUGAGGCACAAGAAUCGCUUGAACCCCUGAGGUAGAGGGUGCAGUGAGCUGAGACUGCGCCACUGCACUCCAGCCUGGGCGACAUCCUCACAAGCAUUCAGUGUUGUCAGUGUUCUGGAUUUUUACCUUUUUUUUUUUUUUUUUUUUUUUGAAAUGAGAGUUUCAGUCUGUUGCCCAGGCUGGAGUCCAGUGGCACGAUCUCGGCUCAUGGCAACCUCCACCUCCCAGGUUCAAGCGAUUCUCCUGCUUCAGCCUCCCAAGUAGCUGGUAUCAGAUGCAUGCACCACCAUGUCCGGCUAAUUUUUGUAUUUUUAGUAGAGACGGGCUUUUGCCAUGUUGGCCAGGCUGGUCUCAAACUCCCAACCUCAGGUGAUCCACCUGCCUCGGCCUGCCAAAGUGCUGGGAUUACAGGUGUGAGCCACCACACCCGGCAGAUUUUAAGCUAUUCUAAUAGGUGUAGUAGUUGUUUUAACUGGUAAUUCCCUAAUGACAUAUCAUGUUGCACAUCUUUUCAUAUGCUUAUUUGUCAUCUGAAUAUCUUCUUUGGAGAAAUAUCUAUUCAAAUCCUUCACCUGUUUUUAAAUUACAUUGCCUUUUUACUAUUGAGUUGUAAGAGUUCUUAUAAGUAUUCUGGACACUAGACUGUUAUAUAAAUGACUUGCAAGUAUUUUUUCCCAUUCUGAGAGCUGCCUUCACUUUCUUUCUUUUAUUUUUUUAAAGAGACAGGGUCUUGCUAUGUUGCCCAGGCUGGACCCAAACUCCUGGGCUCAAGUAGUCUUCCCACUUUAGCCUACCAAGUAGCUGGGAUUGCAGGAAUGAUUACUCCAGCUGUCUGUUCUUUAAUUUUCAUGCCACUGCACCUCAGCAGCUUUUUUCACUGUCUUGAGUGUUCUUUAAAGCACAAAUGCUUUUAAUUCAGUAAAGUUCAAGUGUUUUUUUUUUUUUUUUUUGGUUGCUUGGGCUUCUGGGACAAUGUUGAAGAAAUCACUGCCUAAUUCAAUGUCAUGAAAAUUUACACCUGUGUUUCCUUCUAAGCAUUUCAUAGUUUCAGCUCUUUAAUUUAGGUUUUCAAUCCUUUUAAAUAUAUAUAUAUAUAUUGCUGGGAAGUGAAGCCUCUCUCUAGAAGGCAGAAACAGGUACUUUCUUUUGAUCCAUUUUUAGUUAAUUUUGUACACUGUGUACCAUAGGGGUUCAUUCUUAUGCAUGAGGAUAUCCAGUUGUCCCAGCAGUAUUUGUUGAAAAAACUAUUAUUUUCCCGUUGAAUGGUCUUGGCAUCUUUGUCAAUAUCUAAACUAUUAAUUAUAUAAAUAUAUGUGUGUACUUUGGUCAUGAUAUAUUUCUUACUGUUUAAGACACUGUGCCAAAAAAAAUCUUGUAAAGGAUCCUGUAUAAAAUGUGUGAAGACCUUCAGGCAAUAGAAAGGACCACUUCAGAUGCAGAGAGAUAGACUUACUAAAGCUACUAUAGUAAUCUAGUCAAAAGAUAAUUGUGGCCUAGAUAAAGGCAGUAGUCACCAAAAAAUACACAGACUUUAGCAAUACUGAAGAGCUAAAAAUCAGCAAGAUUUGUGAUUGAUUGGAUGUGAGAAAUGGAGAGAGUGUUAUCAAGGAUGACUGUCAGCUUUCUGAAUAGAUGGAUGAUAUUAUUUACUGGGAGAAGCAACUUAGUUAAGCUACACUUAAGUCUUAUGCAGUGCAUACUAAUGACUUUUCAGGGUACUAUUUUCUACCUCCUAAAGGUAGAAAAGUGCCUCCAAUUUCUUUGUUAGGCAGAAUGCUACAUUUUUUCCUUAUCUUUCUUCCUUUGGGCUAAGGAAAAAUUAAGAAAGUAUAUGACUCCUGUAGAUGCUUUGUCUGAAAACAGUGCCCAUGAGGUAUGCACUUACAUCUAACUUCUGCCUUCCUCUCUCCCUCAGGGAUGGCUCUGCCUCCUAAACGACAGAGAUAUGGUAACCAAAAACUCUGAACUUCUUCAACUUUCUGCUUCCACUUACAAAAUGGCUUGUAUUCUCAUUCCCAUUCUUUCUUCAUGAAUUAACGGACAGGGUUCUGUCUUUCUUCCCAUUCAAGUUCUCUCUUGGUUUUCUGGAUCCCACCCAUCUUGCAUCCUCAGGGACAAAGCUGUGCUAAUAAUACCCUUUCUUACCUAUAUCUUCCUCUGUCAUUUAAGCAGCUCACCCUGUUGUGGCAGGCCAGGUUGCACUAACGCAGGCCUCCAUUACAACAUUUUCAGCACUGACUGAGUGGUUAAGUUAAAUAUUAAAAGCUAAAAAAGCCAGUGCCCUUCUACAAAGGCUGGAAUAUAACAAAAGCCCAUGGAUAGUUUUGCCUAGGCCUUUCCUGGGCCUUAAGGCAUGACAAAAUAACGGAAUUCUUAACAGGACUCAUUUAGGAUUAAACAAGUUUUAUUGGGGGUGUGAAGAAAUGCCACAGGCCUCAACUCUUUUCCUUCCCAGUUCAUAUUGCAUCUCGUUAUUGGGCCAUGAGAAAUAGCAGCCCGACCCUCAGUUUGGUCCAGGAACACUAUGAACUUCUCAGUCUUUCCCAAUUUUAUUGAAACUGUUCUCAGGGUCAACAAUGACCUCAAGCCAGGUGCAGUGGCUUGCAACUGUAAUCUUAGCUAAUCUGGAUGCUGAGGUGGGAGGAUCUCCAGGCCAAGAAUUCAAGACCGGCCUGGGCAACACAGAGAAACCCUGUCUCUAAAAAAAAAUUGUAAACAAUUAGCUGGCCACCAUGAUGACAUGGGCCUCUAGUCCCAACUACUGGAUAGGCUGAGGCAGGAGGAUUCCUUAAGUCCAGAAGUUCGAAGCUACAGUAAGCUAUGAUCACACCACUGCACUUCAGCCUAGGCAACUGAGUAAGAUCCUGUCUCUUAAAACAAACAAAAAAAUAAUGACAUCUAUAUUUUAAAAUCCUUAUACCUCUUUGAACUCUCAACAGUGAAGGUAGUGUCAACAAUUUUCAUUGUUUUAGUAGCACCUCUACCAUUAAUUUUCAAAUUUGAUUCCAUUUUCUAAUUUUCUCUCAGACUGUUAGAAAAGAGGUAAUAAUGCUACUACUAAAGCAGCUUUAAUUUUGUUUGAUAUGUAGGGGUUGUAUAAAAGAUUUCAUUUAAAAACCGUAUUUCUGCCAGGUAUGGUGGCUCAUGCCUAUAAUCCCAGCACUUUGGGAGGCCAAGGCAGGAGGCUUGCUUGAGCCCAGGAGUUUGAGACUAGCCUCUUCUUAUUAGAAGAAGAAAACAAAUGUGGGAUAUGAUGAGGUUUCUCUUAAAAUAAUCUGAUCAAUCUUUUAUUCUUUAAUUCAUAGUACCCCCCAGCUUUUCUCCUUUAUCUUUUUUCCUUUUUGCCUUUGUUAGAUGCCCAGGCACGCCACAGUACCAGCUCACAUUCCUUUCCUUAUUUGGAAAGAGGACUAACUUUCUAGCUCAUUACAGACACCCCUUCCCCUUCCUCUCCACUUUCUUUUACAUGCUCACCUUAUCUAAAAAAAUCAAAUGUUUAGCCAAAACCGGGAUUAGUUUAGAUUGUACGACCCGACCCUGGCCAAUGGGGAAAGGGUACGGGGCAGGACUUGCAUCAGGAAUAAAGGCCCUCGUGCCCCUUUGUUCAGGUGUGCUUUCAUGGUGACUGGCCAAGGAGGCACCCCUCUGCGAAGAAGUAAAAUUGCUUUGCUAAGAAUCCUUUGUUCGAGUGUUUAAUUUCCUUAGGAUUUUGAGUGUUAUUCCUAACACAAAUAGUAUCAGGGAUUUUUGUCCUAAUUAUUAUCAUGUCUCAGGGCCUCAAACAUUUACUGAGGCCAGGUGAGGUGGCUCACGCCUAUAAUCCCAGCACUUUGGGAGGCCGAGGUGGGCGGAUCAUUUGAACCCAGGAGUUUGUGAACAACCUGGGCAACAUGACAAAACCCUGUCUCUACUAAAAAUACAAAAAAUUAGCCAGGGAUGAUGGCACGUGCCUGUAGUCCCAGCUAAUCAGGAGGCUGAGGUGGGAGAAUUGCUUGGGCCUGGCAAGUCCAGGAUGUAGGACUGCCACUGCACUCCAGCCCGGGCUACAGGAGUGAGACUCUAUCUCAAAACAAACAAACAACAAAAGUAUUUAUUGAAUGAAUGAAUGGAGUUGGUAUAAAUAAUGGACAGCUAACUAUAAAAGAUUCAAAUAAUAAGUAUAUUUUACUUCAGCAUAAAAUGUCAGCAUUUUCUUAAGCUGUAAUCUCAGUGUUCAUUUUAUUUUAAUAAACAAUUCAUAUCCUAUUCUCACAGCUGUCUUACGCAGUGUCCUCCAUUAAUGCCAGAGUGAUUUGAGACAGUACUUGAUUCUGGGUGUGAGAACCAGUCAUUGCUUCAUUCUGAAAAUAACUAACAGAUUCUAAUUAGAAGACUAGAUUCUCUGCAACUCCUAAUACUUUCUGUAAUUCCUCUGAUAUAUAUUUAAAAUGUUUCAACUAUGAGAGGCUGACAAGACAUUCACUUAAAGUGGUGAAAUACAUAAACCUUUAAAAUGACUAGACUGAGCCUUGAAGUGAAAUCUAUUUUCUGCCCUAAGUGUUUCCAUUGUGUACAAUUCCCUCGGAAUGGUAGGCAGCUGCCAUUUAGAACUCUGUGAUGAAUAAAGAAAAAUCUAUAUGGAAACAGAAAUACUAUAGAAAUAUUAUACUCUCCAGGCAAAGAAAAGUGGGUGAUUGAGGCAAAUGCACCGAUAAUUUGGGGUCAGGGAGAACACUUGUCUGAAUUACACAGAAAAUGUUUUCAUAACCUUCAACUUUUUAAUCACAGAAACAUGCACUAAUAUGCAAAACAAGUGUGACAGAAUCAUGGGAUAAAAGUAUUUACUUGAAAGGUCUAAAAUAUCAUCAAAGUCUACCAUCUACCCAAUAUUUUAAUUCAUAUCAUACAAUUCCUAUCAGGAGGUUACCUAAUGAUGAGGACGUCACUGCCUCUUACGGAGCAUAUUUCAUCUUUGGGCAGCUCUGAUUAUUCUUUAAAUCUUUCACUGAACACCAGAUGGCCAUCUGAAGUGCUGUGAUACCAUACUUUAAAAAAAAUUGUUCAAGGACACAAAGUUGAUUUGAGAGAAGUUAAUGAAAUUACUACUCUCAGAGCUUCUGCUGAAAAGCACAUUUUCAUUUCUGGCCAAUCUACAGCUUUCUAAAGGGAGUCACUUGAGAAAAUGUCUUAAGGCAAAAAAAAAAAAAAAAAAAAAAAAUCCCAUGGGAGGAAUAAAUGUAUGUGUCUUCUAUAAAAAAAGUUUCCAUCGUUGUUACUUUGUGGUCACCUUGACAAGAACAGUAACCACAAGCAUUCAUUUCAUUCUUUACAUAAUUUUAUUAACUUCAGGCAUGAUGUAUAUAAGCUGCAACUAUCUAUUUAAGCAGAUCUCCAAAAAUAAAAAAUAACACAUAUACCCUUUCACCCAGAAAUUCCACUUCCUGGGAUUCAUUCUUUCUAUUUAAAUAAACCUGACCUUGAGUUAACUCUCUAGUUCUGUUCCCCUGGAAACCUAAUAAAGGUGAAUGUCGACUGUGUUACCAGGUAACAGUACCUAAGAAAAAAAGACCUCCUGAUAUGCCUCUAAACUUGGGACGACUGCAAAUCAACAUGAAUACCUGUUGGUAAGCCACAGUUUGGAUUUGGACUCCCCUGUGUGCAGUCUAUGCAAUGUUAGAACAGAAGGUCUGACCAUGGACUCAAGAGCUGACGUUAGGAAUGUCAGCACCAUCCUGCUCUCCAAGGACUCCUCAUCUUCAACAGACUCCUCAUCUUCAAAGGAAAGGGUGGAAACUGCAACUUGUGCCAUGAUCCCUGCGUGAGAAAAGUAGUAAGAAAUCCUACCCGACCAUAGAAUGUUAGAACAGAAGGUCUCACCGUGGACUCAAGAGCUGACAUGAAGAAUGUCACCACCAUCCUGCUCUCCAAGGACUCCUCAUCUUCAAUGGACUCCUCAUCUUCAACGGACUCCUCAUCUACAACGGGCAGGGUGGAAACUGCAACUUGUGCCAUGAUCCCUGCGCAAGAAAAGUAGUAAGAAAUUGAGUGGUAGAAAUCCAGUGUCCUAAACUCACAUCCAGAGCUGUGAGAGUUUUUCACAGGCUGGCUAAUUCAGAGUUUUCUUGCAUCAGAGGAAAAGUAAGACUCGGAAACUUGGUAUUCGAUUUGCCCAAAACUCUCAUUAGAUAGAGAAUCCAUCCGCUAACUUUCUAUCUAGUAUUAUUUCCAUAAAGUUAGAUCAAUAUCACUCCCAAAAUAAAUCCACGUGGCAACCA